This 158-nucleotide ribosomal RNA is filed under the name Parabagliettoa cyanea. Its description in RNAcentral is "5.8S ribosomal RNA". It matches the Rfam family "5.8S ribosomal RNA". Rfam says of the family: 5.8S ribosomal RNA (5.8S rRNA) is a component of the large subunit of the eukaryotic ribosome. It is transcribed by RNA polymerase I as part of the 45S precursor that also contains 18S and 28S rRNA. The record is from RNAcentral. Lineage: Eukaryota; Fungi; Ascomycota; Eurotiomycetes; Verrucariales; Verrucariaceae.
AAAACUUUCAACAACGGAUCUCUUGGUUCCGGCAUCGAUGAAGAACGCAGCGAAAUGCGAUAAGUAAUGCGAAUUGCAGAAUUCCGUGAGUCAUCGAAUCUUUGAACGCACAUUGCGCCCUUUGGUAUUCCGAAGGGCAUGCCUGUCCGAGCGUCAUU